Long non-coding RNA from Hevea brasiliensis (rubber tree), 234 nucleotides. RefSeq lists it as uncharacterized. The record is from RefSeq and is a predicted model, not a curated record. The transcript has 3 exons. Lineage: Eukaryota; Viridiplantae; Streptophyta; Magnoliopsida; Malpighiales; Euphorbiaceae.
UUCAACUCCAAUCCUUUAAGUUCCUUCAUGAAAAAUGGUCUACACAUCACAAGGAAGAUAUUGAUACCAAUUUUGAGAAGUUUGGUGAAGGUUUAGCAAGUUACAAUUAAAGUUACUAAAGACUCAGGAAAAGAGAAGGAAACACUGAGUCCAGACCAGGGGGACAGUCAUCAGAGGUAGAGAGACAGACAGGGCAGCAGACUAGGCUGCAUAUACCUCCAGCGAGAGAUUUUU